GAUGAAGAACGUAGUGAAAUGCGAUAAGUAAUGUGAAUUGCAGAAUUCAGUGAAUCAUCGAAUCUUUGAACGCACAUUGCGCCCGCCAGUAUUCUGGCGGGCAUGCCUGUUCGAGCGUCAUUUCAACCAUCAAGCCCCCGGCUUGUGUUGGGGACCUGCGGCUGCCGCAGGCCCUGAAAAGCAGUGGCGGGCUCGCUGUCACACCGAGCGUAGUAGCAUACAUCUCGCUCUGGGCGUGCGGCGGGCUCCAGCCGUUAAAGCACCCACCUUUCGCAAGGUUGACCUCGGAUCAGGUAGGAAUACCCGCUGAACUUAAGCAUAUCAAUAAGCGGAGGA
This 336-nucleotide unclassified non-coding RNA is filed under the name soil metagenome. Its description in RNAcentral is "partial contains 5.8S ribosomal RNA, internal transcribed spacer 2, and large subunit ribosomal RNA". The stretch from base 1 to 120 matches the Rfam family "5.8S ribosomal RNA", at positions 35 to 154 of the family's 154-position model. The record is from RNAcentral.